RNAcentral lists this ribosomal RNA (253 nucleotides) under uncultured bacterium. Its description in RNAcentral is "partial 16S ribosomal RNA". It matches the Rfam family "Bacterial small subunit ribosomal RNA", at positions 524 to 776 of the family's 1533-position model. The record is from RNAcentral.
UACGUAGGUGGCAAGCGUUGUCCGGAUUUAUUGGGCGUAAAGAGCUCGUAGGCGGUCUGUCGCGUCGGAUGUGAAAACUCGGGGCUCAACCCCGAGCCUGCAUUCGAUACGGGCAGACUAGAGUUCGGUAGGGGAGACUGGAAUUCCUGGUGUAGCGGUGAAAUGCGCAGAUAUCAGGAGGAACACCGGUGGCGAAGGCGGGUCUCUGGGCCGAUACUGACGCUGAGGAGCGAAAGCGUGGGGAGCGAACAGG